AGUAAAAUUGACAGUGUUAUUAAGUGUUAAUUUUUCAGAGACAUAUUUUUCAGUGUUCAUUAGUGUUAAUUAGUGUAACUUCGGGAGUUGUUUGAACAAACAUGUACACCCACGGUGUAAUUAAAACUCACAACCUAGUGUUUUAAGUGGGUGUGAAUGUACGAACUCUGGGGUGGAGUCAUUUACAUUUCCGGUCCUUCAGUUGAGAUUUUUGAAAAGAAGAUGGACGCCAUUGAAGUACAGCGUGGGAUAGUAAAAGGGUCAGCAAAAUGCUCAUCAAUGUCCAGUACCAUGGAGAAAAAAGUACCUCAAACUCUUGGUUUUUCUUUUCAAAGUUUAAUUCGAGAAGGCACAUCAAUCCACUGGUGCAAAAGAAGAGAACACCUCUGCCAUAGGAGAUUCAGCAGAAAAAGGCCAAACAGAUGGUCCAGGAGGUUCUGGAGAAGAGUUAAAUGGGAGAGGAAAUAAUGGAGGAGUAUAGUAGAGCACCUUGACACACUGUACAAGAAGGCAUCUUCUGAAUAUCCUGGUCCAUGGAAGGAUACCACUACGAAGUCAAAGAAAAAGAUAUGCACUCGGCAUUGUGACUGUUUCCUAAUCUCAGGGAUCCUUACUCCACCAAUGGCUAUGAACACUUCUACGAUGCUGGAAGAGGGACGGGCUAUCUGGCAUGGCGCCUAAAGCAACGAGUGUCGCAGCGUUUGGUCAAGAACAGCUCGGGAGCCUUGGAAUACAUGAACACCAUGAGCUUUUUAAGGAGGUAGACUUUCUAAUGAGGAGACACAGCACUCAAAAAAUCCUCCAUAGAAAUGCAUGGGGUUAGUUUGUAACAUAUGGUGUUGUCUACAUAUAUCACACCCCCCUCCGUGGCAAAACGUGGACAUGUAAAUAC
Molecule: long non-coding RNA, 892 nt
Organism: Alosa sapidissima (American shad)
Lineage: Eukaryota; Metazoa; Chordata; Actinopteri; Clupeiformes; Clupeidae
Exons: 6
Source: RefSeq, a predicted model, not a curated record